UGGCCAAGCGGUAAGGCAGGGGACUGCAAAUCCUUUAUCCCCAGUUCAAAUCUGGG
Molecule: transfer RNA, 56 nt
Filed under: Triticum aestivum (bread wheat)
Lineage: Eukaryota; Viridiplantae; Streptophyta; Magnoliopsida; Poales; Poaceae
Also listed under: 1 other name
Rfam family: tRNA
About the family: Transfer RNA (tRNA) molecules are approximately 80 nucleotides in length. Their secondary structure includes four short double-helical elements and three loops (D, anti-codon, and T loops).
Source: Rfam by way of RNAcentral